RNAcentral lists this ribosomal RNA (440 nucleotides) under uncultured bacterium. Its description in RNAcentral is "partial 16S ribosomal RNA". It matches the Rfam family "Bacterial small subunit ribosomal RNA", at positions 338 to 795 of the family's 1533-position model. The record is from RNAcentral.
CCUACGGGAGGCAGCAGUGGGGAAUAUUGCACAAUGGGGGAAACCCUGAUGCAGCGACGCCGCGUGAGUGAAGAAGGAAUUCGGUAUGUAAAGCUCUAUCAGCAGGGAAGAAAAUGCCGGUACCUGUGUACGAAGCCCCGGCAAACUACGUGCCAGCAGCCGCGGGAAUACGUAGGGGGCACGCGUUAACCGGAUUUACUGGGUGGAAAGGGGGCGUAGACGGGAGUGCAAGGCUGGCGGGAAAGGCUGCGGGUCAACCCCCGGACUGCCCUUGAAACUGGACGGCUGGAGUGGACGAGAGGUAAGUGGAAUGCCUAGUGUAGCGGUGAAAUGCGUAGAUAUUACGCGGAACUCCAGUUGCGAAGGCGGCAUACUGGCCUCUAACUGACGUUGAGGCACGAAAGCGUGGGGAUCGAACAGGAUUAGAUACCCGUGUAGUC